RNAcentral lists this ribosomal RNA (459 nucleotides) under uncultured bacterium. RNAcentral describes it as "partial 16S ribosomal RNA". It matches the Rfam family "Bacterial small subunit ribosomal RNA", at positions 338 to 795 of the family's 1533-position model. The record is from RNAcentral.
CCUACGGGUGGCAGCAGUGAGGAAUAUUGGUCAAUGGGCGCGAGCCUGAACCAGCCAAGUCGCGUGAGGGAAGACGGUCCUAUGGAUUGUACACCUCUUUUGUCGGGGAGCAAAAGACGCCACGUGUGCCUUUCCGAGAGUACCCGAAGAAAAAGCAUCGGCUAACUCCGUGCCAGCAGCCGCGGUAAUACGGAGGAUGCGAGCGUUAUCCGGAUUUAUUGGGUUUAAAGGGUGCGCAGGCGGAAGAUCAAGUCAGCGGUAAAAUUGAGAGGCUCAACCUCUUCGAGCCGUUGAAACUGGUGUUCUUGAGUGAGCGAGAGGUAUGCGGAAUGCGUGGUGUAGCGGUGAAAUGCAUAGAUAUCACGAAGAACUCCGAUUGCGAAGGCAGCAUACCGGCGCUUAACUGACGCUGAUGCACGAAAGUGUGGGUAUCGAACAGGAUUAGAUACCCGGGUAGUC